Molecule: ribosomal RNA, 386 nt
Filed under: uncultured bacterium
Lineage: Bacteria
Description: bacterial SSU rRNA
Rfam family: Bacterial small subunit ribosomal RNA
Source: RNAcentral
GACGAACGCUGGCGGCGUGCUUAACACAUGCAAGUCGAGCGGUAAGGCCCCUUCGGGGGUACGACGAGCGGCGAACGGGUGAGUAACACGUGGGUGACCUGCCCUCAGCUCUGGGAUAAGCCUGGGAAACUGGGUCUAAUACCGGAUAUGACUCCAUGACGCAUGUCGUGGGGUGGAAAGCCUUGUGCGGCUGGGGAUGGGCCCGCGGCCUAUCAGCUUGUUGGUGGGGUGAUGGCCUACCAAGGCGACGACGGGUAGCCGGCCUGAGAGGGCGACCGGCCACACUGGGACUGAGACACGGCCCAGACUCCUACGGGAGGCAGCAGUGGGGAAUAUUGCACAAUGGGCGAAAGCCUGAUGCAGCGACGCCGCGUGAGGGAUGAAGG